CUUCCUUCCUUCCCCUUUCCCCAACCGACCAACAGAAGUGAAGCCUUAGUUGCUAGAGACUAUCCCUUGGGUUAGAUGGCGGCAGUAGGACAGAUACACCAGAGUCAUAAUCGGCUUGAGUAAGGGCUACACUAGUCACUAGUCCCAGCACUUAGCCCGACUCACUCAAUCUCUCAUUCUUGGCCUGGGCACAAUUCGGACCGUUCCUGUUUAUCCACCCAACCACUAUGUAUUGCACGUUACUGGAGAUAUCAAGAUGAAAAAGCACAUGUACUUAAGUUAAUUGGCCUACAUUCAGGGCGAGAGAGUUUGUAUAUAAACCUGCAUGGUGGUGGAGUCCACGUGGAAAGCUGGUAUCUCACCCACCACAACUUAGAAGCCGAAGCCAACACACCGUCACGUACCAACCCUUUCAUCAUCAUCAUCAACGAAGCAAUUGCAACUUUGGGAGGACUUUGCUCUAUCAUCCUGAAACUGGUUGUUCAGACUAGAUGCACCAGUUGUCAUUUUGAUCUUCUAGUAGGCGGAGUGUUUUACCUAAAGCAAAACUCAUGGUCUCGUGCUCACCAUUAGCUCAUCCAAGCACAUUUUCAAAGUUUGCUGUGAUGGAAAGCUGGCUUCCAGAACUUUUUGUAAUCCCUAGAAUUAAAGAAGGAAGUGGCAUUGACAGAUGGAUCUGCUCUUUUCUGCACUGGAGAAGUAGACAGAAAAUGAAAACUGGUUCUGGUUAAGUGGAAAGAACUAGAUUGAAUGUGGAGCGACUUAGCUUCCGG
RNAcentral lists this long non-coding RNA (773 nucleotides) under Vulpes vulpes (red fox). RNAcentral describes it as "lncRNA (ENSVVUG00000027142.1)". The record is from RNAcentral. Lineage: Eukaryota; Metazoa; Chordata; Mammalia; Carnivora; Canidae.